This is a non-coding RNA of Lolium perenne, 2127 nucleotides long. NCBI's taxonomy places the organism in Eukaryota, Viridiplantae, Streptophyta, Magnoliopsida, Poales, Poaceae. The record is from RefSeq and is a predicted model, not a curated record.
CCACGCUAGGAAACCCUAGCCGCCGGCUGCCAAUCCGCUCGCGAGUCGCCCGCUCCUGCCCCUCCCCACGUUCUUCUCCUCCCUCUCUCCUCUAUCCUGCCUCCUCCCUGGUGCUCAGCAGGAGGAGCACGAGGCGCCGCCGUAUGUCGUCGUCCUCCCAAUCUCAGCGCCAUUCUCCUCACCCAAUCGCUGGUGUCCCUCACCUGGGAGCUUGGUCUCCGACGAGCACGAGAAGAGGAGGCCGCUGCUGCUCGCCCGGAGCUCGGUCUUCGACGAGCGCGAGAGGAGGAGGCCGCCGUUGCCUUGUACAAGGUGGGCUGCUGUCUCGCCCAGCCAUCCUCCUUUUCCUCCGCAUCGGGGCUGCCUCAGCAGCAGCUGGAGCCGGCUGUCGGCGUGGGGACGGCAGAUCCCGGCGGUCGGCGCGGGGACGGCGGAUCCCGGCGCCUUGAGGUGUACAGCCGGCCGUGAACUGCAACCUCCAGCCAUGGAUGAAGGCAUUUCGGCUGUGGACUGCCUCCUCGUCUCACAGUCUUCCUCGUGCAUAGCAGCAACAGCAGGGAACCGAGCUCCAAUGACUGCUAUGACAUGACGUGGAGAUGAGGUUACAAGAGCAGAGAUGGAGUCGCUAGCGGUGGUCAUGGGUCGAUGGUCUAAAAACUGACUAGAGUAAUUCUUCUCCGUGGUAUAUGUGUGUAGGUUGUCAAAAUAAGCUUCCUGCAAUUGGUCCUGGGUGGAGUGUGAAACAGUUCUGAACCAGCUACCAGGCAGGUAGUGACUUGGAUGGUAAUACAGUUACAUGAAAGGAGUACAAACCCAUGACGUUCGCAUCCAGGUAGUAAACAAGGCAGUCCGGUUGGCCAACAUUGUGCCUUGCAUUUUGGGAAAGACCCUAAAUGAUGUUCAGUUCAAAGGAUACACAAUUCCGGCAGGAUGGGGGUUGAUGGUAUGCCCACUAGCAGUGCACUUGAAUCCAAAUAUUUACCUACAUCCUCUCAUUUUCAGUGCUUCAAAGUUUAAGUUUGAACAACCUGCAUCUUAACACUGGCAUGCUUUAUGGUUUUAACAACUUGCAACGCAAUUCAUCCGAUCUGUGUUCAGGAGAGAGGUUGGGGCCAUGGUAUAUUCAGGUUCUUUUCAACAGCAAUAUUUGAGUCAUGUUCGGCCGUAUCAGUUGGUUCUGUUUGUUAUCCUUUUUCAGAGUGUUCAUCUUCAGGUGCUAUGUCAGAAUGGAUUUUAACUAUGAGAACAAGGCAGUGCCAGCUCAACUGGAGAAAACGCAAGAGUUGUUGGACAAGCACAUAGUACACGUCUGGCCAUGCCCCGUUUCACCUUUCUCUCGUCAUGACAAGAAGGAAGAGAAGUCUCUACAAUCCUCGAGGGAAUCACCUCUAGCAAGCAAGUAGCUCCUAAAGAAAUUUGAUGAUUAUCAUGCCUUGCAAUGCCCCAUUCAGCUUUAGUUUAGUAGACAGCUGGUUAACUGCUUCCUGAAGUGACUGUAUGAUGCAAAGCUAUGGUUCUUUUCGAAGAUGGCUAGAGAAAUGGCCCAGGAAAUCAGCUUUUGUUAGACUUGCUGGUGAAGGAGAUUGGUCCCAUCAAUUUAAGAUGAAGAGUAGCGAAUUGUUUGGACUGAAUUCUGAAUAUGCUGCAUUUGUGCCAUGUGAGAGAAAUAGCAUAUUGUUAUCAUCUUGAAAUAGUAGACAAAAAUGUACAUUGAGGAGCUCGUCACUUCAGUACAGACUACAGAGAGAUGACGGCUUGAGAUAUAGUCGCAACACCAUCAUUGGCUGCAAGAAUUUGCUCCCUGGAAGCGGAAAUGUCAAGACGGUAGCCUGUAACCACCUCUGCAUUAUUAUGAAUAUUGUUAUUUAUGUUUAGACAUAUCUCACACAUUCGAAAUUAUUAAACUAUGUAGCUAGCUUAAUUAAUCUACACAUGCAUCAGAUGAAUUCUCCCAUUGUACAUGUAAAUUUGAUUUUCCUCUCUAUGAUGGAUAUUGGGGCUGAAUAAAUUACCGAGUGAUGACUGAUGGUAUUGCGUACUUGCUGCAAAAAGAAGAAAAGUAAAAUUGCUCGAAUUAUGCCUUUUUAGUACAGUUUUAGUUCCAGAAUGCUAAUUGGUUGUGUUAAA